RNAcentral lists this ribosomal RNA (356 nucleotides) under Cyrtonops asahinai. Its description in RNAcentral is "SSU rRNA". It matches the Rfam family "Eukaryotic small subunit ribosomal RNA", at positions 1175 to 1489 of the family's 1831-position model. The record is from RNAcentral. Lineage: Eukaryota; Metazoa; Arthropoda; Insecta; Coleoptera; Cerambycidae.
AGUGGAGCCUGCGGCUUAAUUUGACUCAACACGGGAAACCUCACCAGGCCCGGACACCGGAAGGAUUGACAGAUUGAGAGCUCUUUCUUGAUUCGGUGGGUGGUGGUGCAUGGCCGUUCUUAGUUGGUGGAGCGAUUUGUCUGGUUAAUUCCGAUAACGAACGAGACUCUAGCCUGCUAACUAGGCGUAUUUCGACAUCCCAAAGGCCCGCCGGCCGCGUCGAGGUUCGCCUCGCGCGGUCGUGCGCGGUUUUUACUGUCGGCGUACAAACAAUUCUUCUUAGAGGGACAGGCGGCUCCUAGCCGCACGAGAUUGAGCAAUAACAGGUCUGUGAUGCCCUUAGAUGUUCUGGGCCG